This 433-nucleotide ribosomal RNA is filed under the name uncultured bacterium. RNAcentral describes it as "partial 16S ribosomal RNA". It matches the Rfam family "Bacterial small subunit ribosomal RNA", at positions 29 to 507 of the family's 1533-position model. The record is from RNAcentral.
AACGAACGCUGGCGGCAUGCCUAACACAUGCAAGUCGAACGAGACCUUCGGGCCUAGUGGCGCACGGGUGCGUAACGCGUUGGAACCUGCCUUUAGGUUCGCAAUAACUCAGAGAAAUUUGAGCUAAUACCGGAUGAUGUCUUCGGACCAAAGAUUUAUCGACUUUAGAUGGGCCCCCGUGGGAUUAGCUAGUGGGUGGGGUAAAGGCCUACCAAGGCGACGAUCCAUAACUGGUCUGAGAGGAUGAGCAGCCACACUGGGACUGAGACACGGCCGAGACUCCUGCGGGAGGCGGCAGUGGGGAAUAUUGGACAGUGGGGGAAAGCCUGAUCCAGCAAUGCCGGGUGAGUGAUGAAGGCCUGAGGGUUGUAAAGUUCUUUUACCCGAGAUGAUAAUGACAGUAGCGGGAGAAUAAGCACCGGCUAACUCCGUG